RNAcentral lists this ribosomal RNA (253 nucleotides) under uncultured bacterium. RNAcentral's name for it is "partial 16S ribosomal RNA". It matches the Rfam family "Bacterial small subunit ribosomal RNA", at positions 524 to 776 of the family's 1533-position model. The record is from RNAcentral.
UACGUAGGGUGCAAGCGUUAAUCGGAAUUACUGGGCGUAAAGCGUGCGCAGGCGGUUUUGUAAGUCUGUCGUGAAAGCCCCGGGCUCAACCUGGGAAUUGCAUUUAAAACUGUCCAGCUAGAGUCUUGUAGAGGGGGGUAGAAUUCCAGGUGUAGCGGUGAAAUGCGUAGAGAUUUGGAGGAAUACCAGUGGCGAAGGCGGCCCCCUGGCACAACACUGACGCUCAGGUGCGAAAGCGUGGGGAGCAAACAGG